This 979-nucleotide long non-coding RNA is filed under the name Androctonus crassicauda. The record is from RNAcentral. Lineage: Eukaryota; Metazoa; Arthropoda; Arachnida; Scorpiones; Buthidae.
AAACAAGUGGGCGAGGAGGUAGAAUGAGAAAUUAUGUAUCUCCGAAUUUACGUAAGUCAGAUUUACAUAAAUCUGGGUUUCACUGUACAGAAAAUCUGAUAUAUGUAAAUGGAUCAUUUUCCAAAACUCUAUGCAAAUCAAAAUGUAUGUAUUUCAGAGUAUACUUUUCUUUUUACCAGGCUGGCCAUCCAAAUUGUUCUGUGAGCAACCCCUAAUAAAAUUUACAAUUUUUUAUUGGCCACAGAUUAAAUAUAUAUUAUUUUUAUUUUUAAAAUAUUUUUAUGUCAUAGCACUCUAGUUUAUUCAUAGUUCAUAUCAAGCUUAUAUAAAUAAUAACCUAGUAACAAAAUUAAUUUAGGUGUACGAUGGGCAAAACAAGAUUAUGGAAUUAUUAUUGUUAGUGGAAUACAAAUCAUUUUGUAGAAUGCAUAAAAGAAUAUGGCAGGCUAUGGGUUGGCUAGGCCUGCCUUAUAUAAUACUAGUUCAUCACAAAAAUAUAACAUAAAAAAAUAGUUGUUACAGAAUCUGCACAAAAGUCCACUGGAUGGCCAUAUUAUAAAACAGUUUCUUAUCAUCUUGGAGGAUCCAAACUCAAUUCCAAGACCUAUACAAUUAAGUUUUUCAGGAAGAGAUCUGGGUCCUGGCCCAGUUAUUAAUGAUAAACUAAUCUAAUAAAUAUAUAAAAUACAUAUAUAUAUAUAAUAAAUGAGGAAAUUAGGGGAAAAAAAUACUCAUAUCUAUAUUAUAUUUUUAUCUGCUUUCAUCAGUAUACUAUACUAUAUUUUUUUUGUAAGUCGGAAUUUCUAUAUAGCUCAAUCAGACACUCUAUACAGGGUGUUUCCAAAGUCCACUGACGGGCUUCCAGAGCGGGUUCUGCUGAUGAAAAUAAAUAAAAAAUGUCUUAUGAACAUAGUGUUGGAAAUGCGUAUUUAAUGGGUUAUAGCUUUUCUAAAACAGAAUUAUUUUAGUAAUACUCCAC